GAUGAAGAACGUAGCGAAAUGCGAUACGUAAUGUGAAUUGCAGAAUUCAGUGAAUCAUCGAAUCUUUGAACGCAUAUUGCGCUCUCUGGUAUUCCGGAGAGCAUGCUUGUUUGAGUAUCAGUAAACACCUCAACUUCCAUAUCUUUUUUUGAAAUGGGAGUUGGACUUGAGUGAUCCCAACGCUUUUCCUCACCGAAAAGUGGCGGGUUACUUGAAAUGCAGGUGCAGCUGGACUUUUCUCUGAGCUAUAAGCAUAUCUAUUUAGUCUGCCUAAAAAACAGAUUAUUACCUUUGCUGCAGCUAACAUAAAGGAGACUAGUUCUUGUGCUGACUGAUGCAGGAUUCACAGAGACAGCUUCGGCUGACUUUGUAAACUCGAUCUCAAAUCAAGUAAGACUACCCGCUGAACUUAAGCAUAUCAAUAAGCGGAGGA
Molecule: unclassified non-coding RNA, 433 nt
Filed under: soil metagenome
Description: partial contains 5.8S ribosomal RNA, internal transcribed spacer 2, and large subunit ribosomal RNA
Rfam family: 5.8S ribosomal RNA (bases 1-120)
Source: RNAcentral